GAUUCUGGCUCAGGAUGAACGCUGGCGGCGUGCCUAACACAUGCAAGGUCGAACGGGGUUAAGGGAAAUUUCGGAUGGAACUUAACUAGUGGCGGACGGGUGAGUAACGCGUGGAUAACCUGCCUCACACUGGGGGAUAGCAGCUGGAAACGGCUGGUAAUACCGCAUAAGACCCCGGCACCGCAUGGUGCCGAGGUAAAAGAUUUAUCGGUGUGAGAUGGAUCCGCGUCUGAUUAGCCAGUUGGCGGGGUAACGGCCCACCAAAGCGACGAUCAGUAGCCGGCCUGAGAGGGUGAACGGCCACAUUGGGACUGAGACACGGCCCAAACUCCUACGGGAGGCAGCAGUGGGGAAUAUUGCACAAUGGGCGCAAGCCUGAUGCAGCAACGCCCGCGUGAGUGAAGAAGUAUUUCGGUAUGUAAAGCUCUAUCAGCAGGGAAGAAAGGCCCGAAAGGGAGAUGACGGUACCUGACUAAGAAGCCCCGGCUAACUACGUGCCAGCCGCGGC
This 508-nucleotide ribosomal RNA is filed under the name uncultured bacterium. RNAcentral's name for it is "bacterial SSU rRNA". It matches the Rfam family "Bacterial small subunit ribosomal RNA", at positions 15 to 518 of the family's 1533-position model. The record is from RNAcentral.